RNAcentral lists this microRNA (22 nucleotides) under Monodelphis domestica (gray short-tailed opossum). Its description in RNAcentral is "mdo-miR-7374a-5p". The record is from miRBase by way of RNAcentral. Lineage: Eukaryota; Metazoa; Chordata; Mammalia; Didelphimorphia; Didelphidae.
AAGCCCUUACCAAUAUAUUAGA